This is a long non-coding RNA of Xiphophorus couchianus (Monterrey platyfish), 1879 nucleotides long. RefSeq lists it as uncharacterized. Lineage: Eukaryota; Metazoa; Chordata; Actinopteri; Cyprinodontiformes; Poeciliidae. The transcript has 3 exons. The record is from RefSeq and is a predicted model, not a curated record.
AGCUCAUUUUUUAGCUCAUUUUGAAUGUUGUUCUUUAUUUUGUGAGUUCAUUAAUGGAUUGUUGAUUUGCUUCUUUGUAAUUUUGAUACAAAAGAAACUCCUCAGAACACUGUUUCAUUUUUUGUAUUUGUGGAUAAUAACUCUCACCCACAUCCACAAAAAUGGCUUUGCACUACUGCUAGUACUACUUGUGGUCUACUAGUUGUAGACAUCUACUUAAAUGUGGAUGCCUCAAACUUUGUUUCUGACCUGUUUUUGAAUUUUUUCAGCACAAUAUUUGAGAUCUUCCAGCCUACUUCAUGAUGUCAGACCGGAUCUAUCUGAGGGAUUUCUGGAUUCCACAGGUCUAGACGUGUCAAAUAUAUCUCAGCUUUCUAAAAAUAAUUCUAACUGAACUAAUUGAAUGUAAAUUGAUUACUUGAAACAUUUAAAUGUGACAAAAAAGCAAAAAUCUGUGAGGGAGCAAACGUUUUUAUAGCACCAAGUAUGGUGCUAUAAAAAAGCACCAUACAUGGUGUCAAAUGACAAACAUGUCAUUUGGUCUACAUUCAGACCAUUUUUGCCAACAUGUGACUAUCAAACCUAAUGAAGGCCUGGUAAACCUUUAAACGAAAUCUCUGUGGAUUCCUCUGUUUAAAGCUCUUUACUGACUGCUUUGACUGCCUGUCAGAGGCUCUGGCAACUGCCUGUAAACCAGGGAUGUCCAAACAUUUUGUCAUGUCAUUUUGUCAAAAUUAUUAGCUCCAAAUUAUUCGCGGGCCAAAAAAUAUAUAUUUUUUAAAACUAAAAUGACCAAAAAUGUGAUAAAAAAACUCAGCUAAACUAUAAAUUAAGCAUGAAUUAUUUUAAUUAAACAAAUAAUCAGAUGUUGCAUAGGAUUGGGAUUGUUGAUCCUAAACUUUAGAUGAUUUUUCCUUGUUAAAUGAAAAAGCAUCUAGUUUGCUUAUUAUUUAAAGCUUGACUAACAGAAACUUAAAAAACAUUUUUUAUUAUUUUCAACAAUAAGAACAGCAUCUUGGUCAGUCUUCAUUUUAAAACACUUGCUGUACUUAGUCAAGUUUAAUACAGCAAAUAAAAGCAAAUCUCUUUACACCAAGGUGGAUUUUAGACUACAACUCAAUGUGGUUGUAGUUACCAUGACGAUAUAACCAAAACAGAAAGCUUGGAAAAGGGGACCAUUUUGUAUUGCAUCUAACAUUCCUUGAUUGAAGAGGAGCAUGCGAUCCAAACAGCUGGUUAUCUCGGGGGAAACAGGAUUGAAGCCUGGCCUACAAAUGCAGGCUGAACUCACUUGAGUUAUUCAAAGUUGCUUCCUAAAAUGAGAGUAAGCGCUGACGACAGAGGCCCAGAGGUCAGUUGUGAGAGCGGGUUAUAGAUCACCGAGCUCCUCUGUUUGUGCAAUCUGUCGACCUUUUCCUUUCCCCUCUGAACUGUUUAUGUUUAGCUUCGCCUUUUACCUCUGACUCUUGUUUAGCUUAGCAGGGAACAUGUUAGCAAGCAAGCAGAGGAGGAGAGUUUGCCCACUCACCUAGGUAAGCCUAUUACAGAAUUAUGGCAGCAGCUGAGACUUUGCAGUGACAAGAUGCUCACACAUUUAUCACCUCAGAUGUGUUUACUCCAGUUCUGAGUUGUCAUUUCACAUUUUCAGACUUUCUAUUUUGCUAUGAAAAGCUCUCGGUGUGAGGCAAUGUUGGUGUUGGGAGAUGUAGUGAGAGGAGAGGAACUAAGUGUCUUCAUCUACUUCAAAGUAAAUCACUUCACCUCUUAAGCCCAUUAUUCAUCCUCUGCCAAUGUCACCUCCCACAGUGUGACUUCUGUCCAACAGCUCAUGAGCCAAAAAAUGUUCAAUUUUAUACCAAUAAACAUGUCUGAAUCUAUU